ACAGAAUGUAAAUUGUGCACCACUCUCAAGCCUGGCAUCUUUUUCAUUGGAGCUUUAGAAGAUUUUAAUAAAGCCGGAAGCUUUUCAAAAAAGUAAAAAUGUUAUCAAAUGGAAUUUUAAUUCUUCAAAGCCCUUUCAUCGUCUCACUGCAACCAUCAAGUUCUCAUACCAGACCUCAAGGCAUCUGAAUCAACACUCUGGGCUCUUAGGAUUUAUAUUAUACAUCAGGACUGCUGGGGUGAAAUUUGCAUAAUUUAAAUUAUGACCAACACAUAUUAGGGAAGAUUCGCCCUGAGCUAACAUCUGUGCCAGUCUUCCUCUAUUUUGCACGUGGGUCGCCGACAAGUGGUGUAUGUCCAUGCCCGGGAACCAAACCCAGGCCGCCGAAAUGGAGCUCACUGAACUUAACCACUAGGCCACAGGGCUAGCCUUCUAUCUUCUUAAGUGACUCCCAGAAUCACUGGAUUUGUCUUACCAUUUUUCAUCUUCUUUAAACCAAGUUUAUUACUCUCUUACCAAUAAGCCAGCAUUCUGCUUUUAUUAUUUCCCAAAAGGCAUAUGAUGAAUCCUCUUCUGUGAAAGAAUAAACAAUGCAAAGCUAUAAUGAGCUAAGGAUUUCCAUUAUUUGAACUGCUUUCCAGCAGCACGUUGACCUUUCUUCAUACAGAUUUUCAUUCUAGAGAUAGGACGAUGUGUGCUUAUGGAAGGCAGACUGAAGGCCCCCAAAGAUGCCCAUGCACAAAUCCCUGAAACCUACGAAUAUAAUGAGAUGAGCCCAGAUGGGCCUGAUGUAACCACAGAAGAGGAAGACAGAGAGAUCCAGAGCGUGAGAAGGGCUCCAUGUGCCACUGCUGCCUUGAGGAUGGAGAGGGCCACAGGGAAAGUAUGGGAAGAAACUGUAUUCUGCCAACACCACGGAGCUUGGAAGAGGACCCUGAGCCUCAGAUGAGAAUGGUGUCCCCACCCGCACCUCAAUUUCAGCCCCGUGAGACCCUGGACGAGAAUCCAGCAAUUCUGAGCUGGACUUUUGACCCAGAGUAAGGUGAGCUAAUAAAUAGGCAUUGUUUUAAGAUACUAAGUAUGUCGGAAUUUGUUAGGGCAAUGAUAGAAAACUAACACAAUUUUUUAAACUGAUGCCUAAAUAUGUAUCAUAAUAUAGGGUAUGCACAGAUUGUGGGAUUCGACUCUGGCUCGUUGUAUCAGUUACAGUGUAGUAUCAAACUGAAUACUAUUCCCAAGGCCCCGGGGGUCUGGGCCUGUGAAUGUACAGGAGUCAUAAUCAUGUUUUAUCAUUUCUGCAUUAAUCCACUUGCUCCAUAGGGAAAAUAAUCCAAUAAAUAUUUUACUUGAUAUAGUUCCCAUAAUUAUAUCAAUAAAGCAAUAAUCCCAGGUUCAUUUCUUGGUUUACCCUCCCCACAUUAUCUUGACUAUCUUGAUUCACUCUCCCCACACCCAUCGCAACUAAUAUGUUAUAAGCUCCCAUAAUAUCAUGUGUGUGUAGGCUUAAAUAUUUAAUACAAUGUUCUAUUUGUUUUUGCAUAGCUCUGAACCUCACAAAGAUAAGAUGCUUGAAAGUUUAAGAGAUGUGUUUUUACUUAUAUUUUAUACCCAGCACAUUGCAGGUGACACGUGUUCAAUCAAUGCUGAUUUAAUGAAUGGCUGAUUUAAUGAAUAAUUACAUCUUCUAUUUUAUCAGCUACUAAAGUAUACCUCCCUCUUCUAUAAUCUCUCUCUCCAUAAAUACAUUUUUUGUGCAUGUUUUUCAGUCCUUGA
Long non-coding RNA from Diceros bicornis minor, 1773 nucleotides. RefSeq lists it as uncharacterized. The transcript has 4 exons. The record is from RefSeq and is a predicted model, not a curated record. NCBI's taxonomy places the organism in Eukaryota, Metazoa, Chordata, Mammalia, Perissodactyla, Rhinocerotidae.